GACGAACGCUGGCGGCGUGCUUAACACAUGCAAGUCGAACGGAAAGGCCCUGCUUUUGUGGGGUGCUCGAGUGGCGAACGGGUGAGUAACACGUGAGUAACCUGCCCUUGACUUUGGGAUAACUUCAGGAAACUGGGGCUAAUACCGGAUAGGAGCUCCUGCUGCAUGGUGGGGGUUGGAAAGUUUCGGCGGUUGGGGAUGGACUCGCGGCUUAUCCGCUUGUUGGUGGGGUAGUGGCUUACCAAGGCUUUGACGGGUAGCCGGCCUGAGAGGGUGACCGGCCACAUUGGGACUGAGAUACGGCCCAGACUCCUACGGGAGGCAGCAGUGGGGAGUAUUGCGCAAUGGGCGGAAGCCUGAUGCAGCAACGCCGCGUGCGGGAUGACGGCCUUCGGGUUGUAAACCGCUUUCGCCUGUGACGAAGCGUGAGUGACGGUAAUGGGUAAAGAAGCACCGGCUAACUACGUG
Molecule: ribosomal RNA, 468 nt
Filed under: uncultured bacterium
Lineage: Bacteria
Description: partial 16S ribosomal RNA
Rfam family: Bacterial small subunit ribosomal RNA
Source: RNAcentral